GACGAACGCUGGCGGCGUGCCUAAUACAUGCCAGUAGAACGCUGAAGGAGGAGCUUGCUUCUCUGGAUGAGUUGCGAACGGGUGAGUAACGCGUAGGUAACCUGCCUGGUAGCGGGGGAUAACUAUUGGAAACGAUAGCUAAUACCGCAUAAGAGUAGAUGUUGCAUGACAUUUGCUUAAAAGGUGCAAUUGCAUCACUACCAGAUGGACCUGCGUUGUAUUAGCUAGUUGGUGGGGUAACAGCUUACCAAGGCGACGAUACAUAGCCGACCUGAGAGGGUGAUCGGCCACACUGGGACUGAGACACGGCCCAGACUCCUACGGGAGGCAGCAGUAGGGAAUCUUCGGCAAUGGACGGAAGUCUGACCGAGCAACGCCGCGUGAGUGAAGAAGGUUUUCGGAUCGUAAAGCUCUGUUGUAAGAGAAGAACGAGUGUGAGAGUGGAAAGUUCACACUGUGACGGUAUCUUACCAGAAAGGGACGGCUAACUACGUG
Molecule: ribosomal RNA, 495 nt
Filed under: uncultured bacterium
Lineage: Bacteria
Description: partial 16S ribosomal RNA
Rfam family: Bacterial small subunit ribosomal RNA
Source: RNAcentral